Molecule: small nuclear RNA, 107 nt
Organism: Perognathus longimembris pacificus (Pacific pocket mouse)
Lineage: Eukaryota; Metazoa; Chordata; Mammalia; Rodentia; Heteromyidae
Source: RefSeq, a predicted model, not a curated record
GUGCUCACUUCAACAGCAAAUAUACUAAAAUUGGAAUGAUACAUAGAAGGUUAGCAUGAACACUGUGAAAGGAUGGCAUGCAAAUUUGUGAAGUGUUCCAUAUUUUU